ACGAAUUUACCGUAUUUGUCAAG
Molecule: unclassified non-coding RNA, 23 nt
Filed under: Trichinella spiralis
Lineage: Eukaryota; Metazoa; Nematoda; Enoplea; Trichinellida; Trichinellidae
Description: trans-spliced leader SL-12
Source: RNAcentral